GACGAACGCUGGCGGCGUGCUUAACACAUGCCAGUCGAACGGUGAAGGGGUCUGCUUUUGUGGGCCCUGGAUGAGUGGCGAACGGGUGAGUAACACGUGAGUAACCUGCCCCCUUCUUCUGGAUAACCGCAUGAAAGUGUGGCUAAUACGGGAUAUUCUGGGUCUGUCGCAUGAUGGGUCUGGGAAAGAUUGCGCCUUUGGGUGUUUUUGGUGGGGGAUGGGCUCGCGGCCUAUCAGCUUGUUGGUGGGGGGAUGGCCUACCAAGGAGGUGACGUGUAGCCGGCCUGAGAGGGUGGACGGUCACACUGGGACUGGGACACGGCCCAGACUCCUACGGGAGGCAGCAGUGGGGAAUAUUGCACAAUGGGCGCAAGCCUGAUGCAGCGACGCCGCGUGAGGGAUGGAGGCCUUCGGGGUGUAAACCUCUUUCGCCAGUGAAGCAGGCCUGCUCCUUGUGGGUGGGUUGACGGUAGCUGGAUAAGAAGCGCCGGCUAACUACGUG
RNAcentral lists this ribosomal RNA (502 nucleotides) under uncultured bacterium. RNAcentral describes it as "partial 16S ribosomal RNA". It matches the Rfam family "Bacterial small subunit ribosomal RNA", at positions 28 to 507 of the family's 1533-position model. The record is from RNAcentral.